RNAcentral lists this ribosomal RNA (729 nucleotides) under Cellulophaga sp. MAR_2009_77. Its description in RNAcentral is "bacterial SSU rRNA". It matches the Rfam family "Bacterial small subunit ribosomal RNA", at positions 15 to 741 of the family's 1533-position model. Lineage: Bacteria; Pseudomonadati; Bacteroidota; Flavobacteriia; Flavobacteriales; Flavobacteriaceae. The record is from RNAcentral.
GAUCAUGGCUCAGGAUGAACGCUAGCGGCAGGCUUAACACAUGCAAGUCGAGGGGUAACAGAGGAGCUUGCUCUUGCUGACGACCGGCGCACGGGUGCGUAACGCGUAUACAAUCUGCCUUACACUAAGGGAUAGCCCAGAGAAAUUUGGAUUAACACCUUAUAGUUUAUUUUUAUGGCAUCAUUUAAAUAAUAAAGUUUACGGUGUAAGAUGAGUAUGCGUCCCAUUAGUUUGUUGGUAAGGUAACGGCUUACCAAGACUACGAUGGGUAGGGGCCCUGAGAGGGGGAUCCCCCACACUGGUACUGAGACACGGACCAGACUCCUACGGGAGGCAGCAGUGAGGAAUAUUGGACAAUGGAGGAGACUCUGAUCCAGCCAUGCCGCGUGCAGGAAGACGGUCCUAUGGAUUGUAAACUGCUUUUAUACAGGAAGAAUAAGGACUACGUGUAGUCUGGUGACGGUACUGUAAGAAUAAGGACCGGCUAACUCCGUGCCAGCAGCCGCGGUAAUACGGAGGGUCCGAGCGUUAUCCGGAAUUAUUGGGUUUAAAGGGUCCGUAGGCGGGCUGUUAAGUCAGGGGUGAAAGUUUGCAGCUCAACUGUAGAAUUGCCUUUGAUACUGAUGGUCUUGAAUUAUUGUGAAGUGGUUAGAAUAUGUAGUGUAGCGGUGAAAUGCAUAGAUAUUACAUAGAAUACCGAUUGCGAAGGCAGAUCACUAACAAUUGAUU